Molecule: ribosomal RNA, 497 nt
Filed under: uncultured bacterium
Lineage: Bacteria
Description: partial 16S ribosomal RNA
Rfam family: Bacterial small subunit ribosomal RNA
Source: RNAcentral
GAUGAACGCUGGCGGCGUGCCUAAUACAUGCAAGUCGAGCGAACAGACGAGGAGCUUGCUCCUUUGACGUUAGCGGCGGACGGGUGAGUAACACGUAGGUAACCUACCUAUAAGACUGGGAUAACUUCGGGAAACCGGAGCUAAUACCGGAUAAUAUUUUGAACCGCAUGGUUCGAUAGUGAAAGAUGGCUUUGCUAUCACUUAUAGAUGGAUCUGCGCCGUAUUAGCUAGUUGGUAAGGUAACGGCUUACCAAGGCAACGAUACGUAGCCGACCUGAGAGGGUGAUCGGCCACACUGGAACUGAGACACGGUCCAGACUCCUACGGGAGGCAGCAGUAGGGAAUCUUCCGCAAUGGGCGAAAGCCUGACGGAGCAACGCCGCGUGAGUGAUGAAGGUCUUCGGAUCGUAAAACUCUGUUAUUAGGGAAGAACAAACGUGUAAGUAACUGUGCACGUCUUGACGGUACCUAAUCAGAAAGCCACGGCUAACUACGUG